Mytilus californianus (California mussel) is the source of this 428-nucleotide long non-coding RNA. RefSeq lists it as uncharacterized. NCBI's taxonomy places the organism in Eukaryota, Metazoa, Mollusca, Bivalvia, Mytilida, Mytilidae. The record is from RefSeq and is a predicted model, not a curated record. The transcript is spliced from 3 exons.
GGGUUCUUCUUAUUACUUGGAAGUUUCGAGUAGUGAUAAUGCAUCAACCGAUCUCUCUGAUUUCCUUGGAAUGAAGGGCUUACACUGUGGUAAUGAAGGAGGACAAUUCUACAGAAAUGGAAGUUUUGACAGCAUUCGAAAAGGUUGCUUUAAGGAUAUAGAUAUCUUCAUCGGUGGGUUUUAUAUAUAUUUGAAAAACGGACCAAAGUUUGAUACAUUAGACAUAUCGGUCAUCUGUAAUACAACACUGAUGUCAUAUUUAUCCAAAGGAAGACUAGAUAAUGUUAACUGCUCUCAAAAUUACAAAGAGUUCCAACUUGUAUAUACAAAUGCUGUUAGAACAUUAUUCUAUGCUGGAAUCUUCUCAACAGUUAAUCCGAGGAAAAUGAAAGUACUUGUGGCUACCACACAAGACAGUGUUCCCAUGA